This 684-nucleotide ribosomal RNA is filed under the name Sibogella spissa. RNAcentral's name for it is "partial large subunit ribosomal RNA". It matches the Rfam family "Eukaryotic large subunit ribosomal RNA", at positions 1264 to 1896 of the family's 3401-position model. The record is from RNAcentral. Lineage: Eukaryota; Metazoa; Cnidaria; Hydrozoa; Leptothecata; Plumulariidae.
GAAUCCGCUAAGGAGUGUGUAACAACCCACCUGCCGAAUCAACUAGCCCUGAAAAUGGAUGGCGCUCAAGCGUCGUGCCUAUACUCUGCCCACACCGUGAGCAGCGGCGGUGUGGAGUAGGAGGGCGUGGAGGUUGUGCGGAAGCCCUCGGCGUGAGCCCGGGUGGAACGGCCUCUAGUGCAGAUCUUGGUGGUAGUAGCAAAUAUUCAAACGAGAACUUUGAAGGCCGAAGUGGAGAAAGGUUCCAUGUGAACAGCAGUUGGACAUGGGUUAGUCGAUCCUAAGGAUCAAGUUAACUCUGACGUGUAACGUGGGCAUUUCGCGUUCGCGCGUGUGCCCGUCAGCCGAAAGGGGAUCAGGUUAAUAUUCCUGAACCAGAGCGCGGAUAUCUGUGUCGCAGUCUCUCGGGGCGGCGGCGCAGUGUUACGGUAACGUAAGCGAACCCAGAGACGUCGACAGGGACCCCGGGGAGAGUUCUCUUUUCUUGUUAACAGGCUGCCUGGACCGUGGAAGUCGCUUGCCGAGAGAUACGGUCCGCGAGUCUGGUAAAGCCCCACCUCUACUGUGGGGUCCGGUGCGUUCCUGUAGGCCCUUGAAAAUCUGGGGGAGAGAAUGAUUUUCGCGUCUGUUCGUACUCAUAACCGCAGCAGGUCUCCAAGGUGAGCAGCCUCUGGCUGAUAGAAC